CCGGCGAUGUCCGAAUGGGGAAACCCAGUGCAAUUCGUUGCACUAUCGUUAACUGAAUACAUAGGUUAACGAGGCGAACCGGGGGAACUGAAACAUCUAAGUACCCCGAGGAAAAGAAAUCAACCGAGAUUCCCCCAGUAGCGGCGAGCGAACGGGGAGCAGCCCAGAGUCUGAAUCAGCUUGUGUGUUAGUGGAACGGUCUGGAAAGUCCGACGGUACAGGGUGAUAGUCCCGUACACCAAAAUGCACAGGCUGUGAACUCGAAGAGUAGGGCGGGACACGUGGUAUCCUGUCUGAAUAUGGGGGGACCAUCCUCCAAGGCUAAAUACUCCUGACUGACCGAUAGUGAACCAGUACCGUGAGGGAAAGGCGAAAAGAACCCCGGCGAGGGGAGUGAAAAAGAACCUGAAACCGUGUACGUACAAGCAGUGGGAGCACCUUCGGGUGUGACUGCGUACCUUUUGUAUAAUGGGUCAGCGACUUAUAUUCUGUAGCAAGGUUAACCGUAUAGGGGAGCCGCAGGGAAACCGAGUCUUAACUGGGCGUUAAGUUGCAGGGUAUAGACCCGAAACCCGGUGAUCUAGCCAUGGGCAGGUUGAAGGUUGGGUAACACUAACUGGAGGACCGAACCGACUAAUGUUGAAAAAUUAGCGGAUGACUUGUGGCUGGGGGUGAAAGGCCAAUCAAACCGGGAGAUAGCUGGUUCUCCCCGAAAGCUAUUUAGGUAGCGCCUCGUGAAUUCAUCUUCGGGGGUAGAGCACUGUUUCGGCUAGGGGGUCAUCCCGACUUACCAACCCGAUGCAAACUACGAAUACCGAAGAAUGUUAUCACGGGAGACACACGGCGGGUGCUAACGUCCGUCGUGAAGAGGGAAACAACCCAGACCGCCAGCUAAGGUCCCAAAGUCAUGGUUAAGUGGGAAACGAUGUGGGAAGGCACAGACAGCCAGGAUGUUGGCUUAGAAGCAGCCAUCAUUUAAAGAAAGCGUAAUAGCUCACUGGUCGAGUCGGCCUGCGCGGAAGAUGUAACGGGGCUAAACCAUGCACCGAAGCUGCGGCAGCGACACUAUGUGUUGUUGGGUAGGGGAGCGUUCUGUAAGCCUGCGAAGGUGACCUGUGAGGGUUGCUGGAGGUAUCAGAAGUGCGAAUGCUGACAUAAGUAACGAUAAAGCGGGUGAAAAGCCCGCUCGCCGGAAGACCAAGGGUUCCUGUCCAACGUUAAUCGGGGCAGGGUGAGUCGACCCCUAAGGCGAGGCCGAAAGGCGUAGUCGAUGGGAAACAGGUUAAUAUUCCUGUACUUGGUGUUACUGCGAAGGGGGGACGGAGAAGGCUAUGUUAGCCGGGCGACGGUUGUCCCGGUUUAAGCAUGUAGGCUGGUUAUCCAGGCAAAUCCGGAUAAUCAAGGCUGAGGUGUGAUGACGAGGCACUACGGUGCUGAAGUAACAAAUGCCCUGCUUCCAGGAAAAGCCUCUAAGCAUCAGGUAACAUCAAAUCGUACCCCAAACCGACACAGGUGGUCAGGUAGAGAAUACCAAGGCGCUUGAGAGAACUCGGGUGAAGGAACUAGGCAAAAUGGUGCCGUAACUUCGGGAGAAGGCACGCUGGUGUGUAGGUGAAGUCCCUGCGGAUGGAGCUGAGACCAGUCGAAGAUACCAGCUGGCUGCAACUGUUUAUUAAAAACACAGCACUGUGCAAACACGAAAGUGGACGUAUACGGUGUGACGCCUGCCCGGUGCCGGAAGGUUAAUUGAUGGGGUUAUCCGUAAGGAGAAGCUCUUGAUCGAAGCCCCGGUAAACGGCGGCCGUAACUAUAACGGUCCUAAGGUAGCGAAAUUCCUUGUCGGGUAAGUUCCGACCUGCACGAAUGGCGUAAUGAUGGCCAGGCUGUCUCCACCCGAGACUCAGUGAAAUUGAACUCGCUGUGAAGAUGCAGUGUACCCGCGGCAAGACGGAAAGACCCCGUGAACCUUUACUAUAGCUUGACACUGAACAUUGAGCCUUGAUGUGUAGGAUAGGUGGGAGGCUUUGAAGCGUGGACGCCAGUCUGCGUGGAGCCGACCUUGAAAUACCACCCUUUAAUGUUUGAUGUUCUAACGUUGGCCCCUUACCGGGGUUGCGGACAGUGUCUGGUGGGUAGUUUGACUGGGGCGGUCUCCUCCCAAAGCGUAACGGAGGAGCACGAAGGUUAGCUAAUCCUGGUCGGACAUCAGGAGGUUAGUGCAAUGGCAUAAGCUAGCUUGACUGCGAGCGUGACGGCGCGAGCAGGUGCGAAAGCAGGUCAUAGUGAUCCGGUGGUUCUGAAUGGAAGGGCCAUCGCUCAACGGAUAAAAGGUACUCCGGGGAUAACAGGCUGAUACCGCCCAAGAGUUCAUAUCGACGGCGGUGUUUGGCACCUCGAUGUCGGCUCAUCACAUCCUGGGGCUGAAGUAGGUCCCAAGGGUAUGGCUGUUCGCCAUUUAAAGUGGUACGCGAGCUGGGUUUAGAACGUCGUGAGACAGUUCGGUCCCUAUCUGCCGUGGGCGCUGGAGAAUUGAGGGGGGCUGCUCCUAGUACGAGAGGACCGGAGUGGACGCAUCACUGGUGUUCGGGUUGUCAUGCCAAUGGCACUGCCCGGUAGCUAAAUGCGGAAGAGAUAAGUGCUGAAAGCAUCUAAGCACGAAACUUGCCCCGAGAUGAGUUCUCCCUGAGACUUUAAGUCUCCUGAAGGAACGUUAAAGACGAUGACGUUGAUAGGCCGGGUGUGUAAGCGCAGCGAUGCGUUGAGCUAACCGGUACUAAUGAACCGUGAGGCUUAACCUUACAACGCCGAAG
RNAcentral lists this ribosomal RNA (2810 nucleotides) under Klebsiella pneumoniae. RNAcentral's name for it is "partial 23S ribosomal RNA". It matches the Rfam family "Bacterial large subunit ribosomal RNA". The record is from RNAcentral. Lineage: Bacteria; Pseudomonadati; Pseudomonadota; Gammaproteobacteria; Enterobacterales; Enterobacteriaceae.